UGGGGGAUAUUGCACAAUGGGCGAAAGCCUGAUGCAGCGACGCCGCGUGGGGGAUGAAGGCUUUCGGGUUGUAAACCUCUUUCGCUAUCGAACAAGGCCCGCUUAGGGUGGGUUGAUGGUAGGUGGAGAAGAAGCGCCGGCUAACUACGUGCCAGCAGCCGCGGUAAUACGUAGGGCGCGAGCGUUGUCCGGAAUUAUUGGGCGUAAAGGGCUUGUAGGCGGCUUGUUGCGCCUGCUGUGAAAACGCGGGGCUUAACUUCGCGCGUGCAGUGGGUACGGGCAGGCUUGAGUGUGGUAGGGGUGACUGGAAUUCCAGGUGUAGCGGUGGAAUGCGCAGAUAUCUGGAGGAACACCGAUGGCGAAGGCAGGUCACUGGGCCAUUACUGACGCUGAGGAGCGAAAGCAUGGGUAGCGAACAGG
RNAcentral lists this ribosomal RNA (420 nucleotides) under bacterium. RNAcentral describes it as "partial 16S ribosomal RNA". It matches the Rfam family "Bacterial small subunit ribosomal RNA", at positions 355 to 776 of the family's 1533-position model. The record is from RNAcentral.